This 1514-nucleotide long non-coding RNA is filed under the name Homo sapiens (human). RNAcentral describes it as "HSALNT0407763". Lineage: Eukaryota; Metazoa; Chordata; Mammalia; Primates; Hominidae. The record is from RNAcentral.
GGAAGUUCAGCUUUUCCUUGGUCCUUGCUGAUAUGGAUAUUGGGGGAGGCAGAGUAUCAUUGAAUAGAGUGUCAUGUCAUAUUGCCUCAUUCUGCCCUGUUGCUGCAUGGUGGAAGCAGAAGACAGAAAAUCAAGAUUCCCCUUGGUCCCGCUGAUACGGGGAAGGAGUUUCACCCCAUAGCCACAACAGCUAGUAAUGUUCUGAGUUUCACCUGAAGCCAGCAAGUCUCAGAGGCUCACCCAAGACCCUGGAUGUAGGACCUGGGUAUCGGUUCUGAUUAAGACCGAAGAGUUCUUCAGUUAGCAGAUACAGCAUGCUUGGAAAUGUGGAAAAUGAUCUGGAAGGGGAGAAAAGAGGGCAGAGAGACCUUUUCAGAAGUUGGUGUGAUGUUCCAUGCAAGUAAUGGUGAGGACUUGAAUUGGGGUAGAAGCACGACCACAAAAUAGCCUGCUAACAACUGUGUAAACACUGAACCACAACAGCACUGGACCAUGUGGUUGAUUCCCCAAGAGGUAUUUUCAGAUGGGUUGACUUUAUUGUGUCUCUUUUUAUAUACUACAAUGUCACUUUUACACAUUUCAAAAAUCAUGUCAGUGGUGUGGCACACAUUGGAAGGUCUGGUCUCAGAAGUGUAAAAAGCAUGGAGCACUUCAGCUUGCAACCAGCUGUCAUCCUGGAUUCUCCUCAGAGGAAGCCAAAAGUACUACACUUCAAACAAGCUUUUUGAAAAAAGGCCAAUGUAUGCAUUGUGCUUGGUAUGGCUACGGGAGAGUAGUGAGUUAGACUUCGAAAACUACUGCAAGUAGUGUCUAUGCUAAUAGAUACCUAGACCCCUUUGUCACCAGCAUUUAGGGUUGAUCGUGAUCUAUUUCAAUGCUAUGAUGUAAUAAUACAUUUUGAAAAUUAUUCUUAAGAUUUAAACAUUUUUCUGAUCAUUAAAGAUGUAUUUGUGUUGUGGAAAAUGUAUAACAAAUGCUAAUCAUACAUAACAAUAUUUACUGAAUGCUAACACCAUGUGAAAGACACUGUGCUAUGCACAUUGCAUACAUUAUUUAAUGUAUCCUCAUAGUAGUCCCGUGAGAUAGAUACUUUUACAUUCUCCAUUUUUAGGUAAGAAAACAGACUCAAAGUGACUUGCUCAAGUUUACAUAGCUAGUACAUGGUAGAGCUAGAAUUUGUGGCCCAUUCUGUCCAGCUCUAAAGUUUGCAUCUGUUUUUAACUUUUUUCUUAAUUAAAAAGAGAUAAAUAUGCACAUAGAGAAAAACCUACUUUUUAUUUCACCAUCCAGAGGCAAACACUACUAAUAUUCUGGCACAUUUUCUUCCUGCCUUUCUUGGAUAUUUUUUAAAAUUUUAUAUUUGAGAGAUAACAGACUUUAAAGGAAAUGUGAAACUCUUCCCUCACCAUUCGGUGAAUGGAAUGAUAUAAGGAGGUAAGUGGAAUUACUCUAGUAGGUAAAUAAAUAAUAAAUGAAUAAAUAAAUAAGAGGCUUGGUGCAGUGGCUCCUCCCUU